UCGCGCCUCACGAUCCGCUGCAUUAUGGGAAAUGUAGUUUUCUUGUGGGAUUUGUAUAGAAUCAAUGUGAUGUGUAUUUGUACUGUUCUAGUGUGUGUGCACAUAUGAGGUUUCUGUGUUUACCUGUGAUCUAUUACACAAGAGGCAGUGCAUGUUUACUUUAUUAUCAUUAUUAUUGCAUUUGUUUUACUUUAUUACUUUAUGUAUCCCUCACAGUAGUCUGAGAAGAGGGUGUGUGGAACUGAUGCAGUCCCUGUCACAUGUUGUGUCAUUACAGACUCACUCAGUAAAACAAAGAUCCAAAGAGAGCUGUGGUGUCGUGGUACAAAAUCCCUCGUUGGUGUUUUUUGCAACCAGGCAGCUAACCCUAACCUUAACCCUAAACAUAACCAUUGCUGUGCUGCCAGGGAGGAGACGUUGCGGG
Sander lucioperca (pikeperch) is the source of this 424-nucleotide long non-coding RNA. RefSeq lists it as uncharacterized. The transcript is spliced from 2 exons. The record is from RefSeq and is a predicted model, not a curated record. NCBI's taxonomy places the organism in Eukaryota, Metazoa, Chordata, Actinopteri, Perciformes, Percidae.